CGCGGGAAGGCGAUGUUGUUGCAAACAUUCCUAAACUUGCUUGCCUCACCGUCAAGACCAGCAGUGCCUGUUCCAUCAUAGAAGAAGCCGGUUUGGGUGGCUAUUUGGGGCUUUCGGUCGCCCUCAUGUAUGAGAGAAGUUUAGGUGAGAACUCUAAUUGGGCUGGCUAUCUCCAGCUUCUGCCGGAUAAAGAGUGCUUGCCCUUGCUUUGG
RNAcentral lists this unclassified non-coding RNA (212 nucleotides) under Hevea brasiliensis (rubber tree). The record is from RNAcentral. Lineage: Eukaryota; Viridiplantae; Streptophyta; Magnoliopsida; Malpighiales; Euphorbiaceae.